RNAcentral lists this ribosomal RNA (861 nucleotides) under Polypedates leucomystax (Java whipping frog). Its description in RNAcentral is "partial large subunit ribosomal RNA". It matches the Rfam family "Bacterial large subunit ribosomal RNA", at positions 1504 to 2603 of the family's 2925-position model. Lineage: Eukaryota; Metazoa; Chordata; Amphibia; Anura; Rhacophoridae. The record is from RNAcentral.
GCGUAACUUUAACUCCCAAAAUACCAUUAAUUUUUAUGAACCCCUAAUUUAUAAUGAAUGACUCCAUAUUUAUAUGGAAGACACCAUGCUAGGAUUAGUAACAAGAAUUUAUAAUUCUCCAAAAUGCAAAUAUAAACCAACAUGGAUAGACCAUUGGUAGUUACCGAACCUAAAUUCAAUGCAAUAACAUCCACAAGAAAACUCUGCAGUACUCACUCGUUAACCUAACACCAGCGCAUUACAGGAAAGAUUUAAAAAAAGAGAAGGAAUUCGGCAAAUGACGGCCCCGCCUGUUUACCAAAAACAUCGCCUCUUGACUUAUAAUAAGAGGUCCAGCCUGCCCAGUGAAUUUUAAACGGCCGCGGUAUCCUAACCGCGCGAAGGUAGCAUAAUCACUUGUUCUUUAAAUGGGGACUUGUAUCAACGGCAUCACGAGGGUUUUACUGUCUCCUCUUUUUGAUCAGUGAAAUUGAUCUUCCCGUGAAGAAGCGGGAAUAUUUUUAUAAGACGAGAAGACCCCAUGGAGCUUUAAACCAAAUAACAACUUAACCACUUAUCCCAUAAUAAAUUUAAGCCCUGUUAUAAGGUUUUUGGUUGGGGUGACCGCGGAGUAAAGCACAUCCUCCACGACGGAAAGAACAGAAUCUUUAUUUAAGAACCACACUUCUAGAAAUUAGUAUACUAACGUUUACUGACCCGACAAUCGAUCAACGGACCAAGUUACCCUGGGGAUAACAGCGCAAUCUACUUCAAGAGCUCAUAUCGACAAGUAGGCUUACGACCUCGAUGUUGGAUCAGGGUAUCCCGGUGGUGCAGCCGCUACCGAAGGUUCGUUUGUUCAACGAUUAAAACCCUACGUGA